GACGAACGCUGGCGGCGUGCCUAAUACAUGCAAGUAGAACGCUGAAGCUUGGUGCUUGCACCGAGCGGAUGAGUUGCGAACGGGUGAGUAACGCGUAGGUAACCUGCCUGGUAGCGGGGGAUAACUAUUGGAAACGAUAGCUAAUACCGCAUAAGAGUAGAUGUUGCAUGACAUUUGCUUAAAAGGUGCAAUUGCAUCACUACCAGAUGGACCUGCGUUGUAUUAGCUAGUUGGUGAGGUAACGGCUCACCAAGGCAACGAUACAUAGCCGACCUGAGAGGGUGAUCGGCCACACUGGGACUGAGACACGGCCCAGACUCCUACGGGAGGCAGCAGUAGGGAAGCUUCGGCAAUGGACGGAAGUCUGACCGAGCAACGCCGCGUGAGCGAAGAAGGUUUUCGGAUCGUAAAGCUCUGUUGUAAGAGAAGAACGAGUGUGAGAGUGGAAAGUUCACACUGUGACGGUAGCUUACCAGAAAGGGACGGCUAACUACGUG
Molecule: ribosomal RNA, 497 nt
Filed under: uncultured bacterium
Lineage: Bacteria
Description: partial 16S ribosomal RNA
Rfam family: Bacterial small subunit ribosomal RNA
Source: RNAcentral